RNAcentral lists this ribosomal RNA (473 nucleotides) under Basalys sp. M67. RNAcentral's name for it is "eukaryotic LSU rRNA". The record is from RNAcentral. Lineage: Eukaryota; Metazoa; Arthropoda; Insecta; Hymenoptera; Diapriidae.
AAACCGUUCAGGGGUAAACCUUAGAAACCCAAAAGAUCGAAUGGGGAGAUUCAUCGUAAGCGGCCGUUGGCUUGCGUGCGGCGCGCGAUGCUCUCGGGGCGCUUGCGCUCCUUGGGCACGCCGUCGCUGCGCCAUGUCCGGCGUCGUGGGCGUGCACUUCUCCCCUAGUAGGACGUCGCGACCCGUUGGGUGUCGGUCUACGGUCCGGUGUGGUCGUCUGUCGCGCAGUCUUCGCGGGCGUCGCGCGGCAGACCCACCGAUUCUCCGACCGGCUGCCCGGCGGUACUCGCACGGUAUCGAGCCGCGGAUUCGAACGCGUCCCGGCCCGCCGCAAGCGCGUCCAGUGUUACACGGAGGUGCGGACCCAGCGCCGUCCCCGUGCCUGGCGCUCUGUUGGUUGGCGGUGUCCUCGGACAGGCUCUGUCGAAUGGUGAUACCGGUCGGCGACGCUACUGCUUUGGGUACUCUCAGGA